Molecule: long non-coding RNA, 801 nt
Filed under: Heterocephalus glaber (naked mole-rat)
Lineage: Eukaryota; Metazoa; Chordata; Mammalia; Rodentia; Bathyergidae
Description: lncRNA (ENSHGLG00000049668.1)
Source: RNAcentral
CAACUGUCUGCCGCGCCCUAAAGUCCUGCCUCAGUGAUUAGCUGUUAGGAGCUGGUCCCAGUUCUGCCCUUCCUAGCCGUGUGUCCUUGGACAAGUUGCUUUCAAGGCAUGGUCAAAAAAUAAGGGCCCUGUUGCUCAUGACCAACAGGUAAAUUCUCAGGCCAAGGCCAAUGUCUCAAGAAAGAAAAUGUGCACUCUUCACGUCUUGGAAAAACUCUAAAUUCAACAGUUCAACAAAUAUUUAUUCUCUGUGUAUUGGGAAAGUCACUCCACCAGGUUGAGUUCAUUGCUCUGAACAAAUUAUAGGACUUGUAGAAUUAUUAUUCUGCAAGUAUGUGCUUCUCCCAUCCGAUCAGCCCCCUUGGUGGCCUUCUGUACCUCUCUGCAAGACAAGAGGCUCAGCCAAAGUCAACAAGGAGCAUCCUAUUUGGUGAAGACCUAGAGAUUUUACAGAGAGAGUUUAUAGAAAACUUCUUCAUCCACCAUGACAAUUCAGUCAUCACAGUAACUCCUCAAAGUGGAAAAGCCAGUACCAGUACCGCCAUUUUGCCAAAGUGUAAACCAAGGCUUAAGGAAGGCAAAUGGUUCGUCCUAAGUCACACACAAGUUCAAGUCUUUGAAAAGUUGGUAAAGGCUGAUUGGACUGUUAUACCUACUUUUUUAGAAGAUAGGAGAUAGGAGAAAAUAUUACCACAAUGAAAGGAGGAGAAAGCCCAAAGGAAAAAAUCUGUUUUUUAAAAAAUCGAGAACUUGUCAGCGUGAUACACAGCUCUGAAGAUUAGAGCAAAGCAAACCACAUGU